Molecule: ribosomal RNA, 229 nt
Filed under: uncultured bacterium
Lineage: Bacteria
Description: partial 16S ribosomal RNA
Rfam family: Bacterial small subunit ribosomal RNA
Source: RNAcentral
CGUGUAGGCGGUCCUGUAAGUCAGAUGUGAAAGCCCGGGGCUUAACCCCGGAAGUGCAUUUGAAACUAUGGGACUUGAGUAUGGGAGAGGGAAGUGGAAUUCCUGGUGUAGAGGUGAAAUUCGUAGAUAUCAGGAGGAACACCGGUGGCGAAGGCGACUUCCUGGACCAAUACUGACGCUGAGGCGCGAAGGCGUGGGGAGCAAACAGGAUUAGAUACCCUGGUAGUCC